GUCUUAAAACCUUACCCCCCCCUCCCCUCCCCCUUAAGAAGGUCAAUUUUUCGUGGUAACGUCGAUAUAAAUGCAUGAACGUGCUCCCUAAGGGAGAAUAUAAAUAUUGUUAUUCUUUCUUCGAUCGGCAUAAUAACAUUGAGCGAGCGACGAUUAUAACUGACAUACACUAUCCGUUGCACUUAUACUGAUUUUAAUACAUAAGACUAUUACGAAUUCAUCGACUCGUUUCUUUAUCGAACAAAUCUACACGUUUAAUCCACCUCGUCUCUUUGGUUGAUCGAUCACGCUUUGCCAUAAGAAACGUUUGCUCUGCACGUCUUCCAGCACCAAAACAAAUUCUCAUUUCACAAGUUCCCAUAGGAAACGUAUCAGCCUAAACUUCCGCUUUUGAAUAGCGAUCUUAUAUCGUAGAGCGGAUGCAAGCGCGGAACUAUGCGAGUCGAUCUCGGAAAAAUGUCGGGUAGAAUCAUUCGUUUGCAGGAGAGAGAAUUCACGUCUGGAAAGCGCGGGCGAUAACUAUCGAGCGAGUUUGUACACGUGUUAAAAUCGCGGAGCGCGCCUUACCGGACCCCCGAUUACGUAGAUUUAUUGCCUGUUGCGGCGCAAUCAGUAGAAUGGGUUGUUAGGCAAAGCGCAAGAAUCGGUGCCGCGUAUAGAUGACGCAGAUUGCGUAUUGUUAGCGGCUAAUUAGGAUGCGAGCGGGCAAGGAGAACGGUAAAACGUGCGCGAACCACAGCCUGAAACGGUUAGUCGUCGAUCCGGGCGACCUGACUCGCGUGAAAAUUAUGGAGGAAACCGUGGAAGUGCCCUUUAAUUAAAAACGUCUUAGAAUUCAUCAACUUUCUUAAAUCGAUCUUAAUCGAAUUGGUUGCAACCCUUGCGAACGUAAAUGCGAUCUGAAAUUCACUUUUAGAAGAUUUGAAAGUACGCGUGAUUGAACAGAGGAUCAUCGAACAAAGACGGUAUCGCGUUUCGGGGAUUGGCAAUUCGAAUGACGAGUUACUAGAUUAACGGGCUAAAGUGUAAAUGUUUUCCUGGUUCUUGAUGUUCAAUUUAUUAUAAUAAGAUUGCAAUGAAGUUUGCUUUGCAGUCUUUUGUAGUCUUGCUAUGGUAGAAAUGUUUUCUAAUGAGGCAAUAUCAAAGUUUGUUUUUGGGUACUUUGAAACCUCGCGUAUGUAACUUUUUCCUUGGAGCAUUUUAUAUUAUCUCGGGUCUAAUAUGAUAGAUGUGGACGAAGAUCUAACACGGGCUGGAUUUUGAAACGCGAGGCAUUAAUCAGAGCCGGGCAAAAACGCGCCGGGAGAACGUCCAGGCGUCGGACAGCGAAAAGUCUCGAUAAAUAAAAUUCCAGCGUGAAACGACACGCGAGCACGCCAACGGCGUAUCAGCGAUAAAAAGACACGCGCGGUUCGAAUCUCACGCCGGUAAAUGGAGGCCUGUGGCGAGAUUAGAAUCCAGCUUCCGCGUACGAACUCUAUCCGCUUGUACGGGCAAACGACCACCGAGGUAUUUUUAUUCGACUGUCAUUCGUCAAUCAUUCAUUGGAAAGGAUUGCACGGGUUUUACGAGUUUCUUUCCAUCAUAAAUCCUAAAAUCAUAGUGAAGAAUCGUUGCGCAACCGAUGGCGAGACGAUCGUCGAAACGUUUAAUCUCGACGUUCACCACGAUGGAAACCAACCUUCGAUAUUCCCAUAAAAAGAAGAGGCGACUGUCGACGAACGAGAGGAAUCGAAAUAGAGAAACGAGUCAUGGAUUCCCAUUUACGAGCAGACUCGUCCAUAUACGACAUUCCUACAGUUCGUUAAUCAUCGCGGGAAAUAAUUAACAAUCAAUUAGGAUGGUCUCGAAGCUGAUCCAAACGAAACCCAGAGAUCGAACACGCCUCUUUACAGGGUUUGGCUCGUUGAGGGAAAUCGAUGAAAAAUAGGUGAAUAGAAUAGGAGAAUUCUUAGAGUAUCGAAACAGAACUCUACCAACAUUUUUUUAUUUCGAUUAUCGUUAUCGUUUUAUUUCUUCCAAACAAAAUUACAAAAUUCAAAUAGGAAUCCUAUCUGCGAUUUCUCUACUUUUCAUUUUUUAUCUCAAGUUAUAUGACACAGUCUAAUGACUAGAUACUUUCAAUUGAACGAACAAAGACAAAGACAAUAUAUAGGAAAUGAUGGAGCUUUAGUUUUCUUCAACUUCCACGCGGUAAAUAGGAUAUUUUAACAAAGAGAGGUAGAAAACCUCAAGAUCGAAUUCAUAUUUCUUUUUUUUCUUUUUUUUUUUUUCUGAUAACGAAAGUCACAAAACUUACGAAACGACCUAAUAAAUAGGAAAAGAAAGAAAACGAUCGUAGUAUUUACGAACAGUCCAAGCCUCUAAUGGUUUCGAUGCGGUCGGACGCGCGCGUACCUGUCCGCUCGGUGCGUGUGCACGCGUGUACGAGCUAUCCUUCAUGCGAUUCUUGCGUGUUCCCCGCGUCGAUGCAUACACGCACACCAACGUACCAGUCGCUAUCAUUGCGAACGUAGGAGGGUGGCGAGGUCCAGGCCACGCACGGCCUGCACACGGGCGUGAAUUAUGCCUCGCGCGAGAUGUCAAAUUGCUCGCCAUAUCGUAAAAUAUACAACUCCUCGCGCUGUGGGAAACAUUAUGUUCUCUCCCACUCCCGACCACCGAUCCCCAUCGGUCCGAUCCUUUCCCCUUCGUUCACCGAUUGGCCCCCUUGCUCCUCCUCGAAGCACAUGGUUCCCGUGGCUCUGCACCCCUAUCGGACAAGAGGGACGAGAAGCUCGAUUCGUUGGUCGAACGUGUCCCGAGAUUGCGUUUACCGGGGCUUUCCACAGGAUCUCUUUUGCUUAACUAGAAAUUAUUUCCGGGGGUGCGAGGCUAUUGGCGUUCCUUUCUGUCGUGCUGAUUCGGCAGCGUUACACUUUUUUAGUCGUGAGAGUCGAUAUUAAUAGAUUCAUUGCUAGUAAUGCACGCGUUGUCGAUUCCAUUAUUUAAUUUAUCUAAUUUGACGUAAGGAAGCAAACAAAGUGAACAGUGGCACAAAUAUUAUUGCUUGAAAUAAAGACAUUAUUGAUGAAGACAGAAUGCAAUUUCAAAGGUGGGUAGAUGCAAGUAACGCGUGCGUAUAAAUAUAAAAGUGUGGGUAUACAACCUUGGAAUUGUAACAUCAAGCCGACCAAAACAGAUUCAGCUAGAAUGCUUUACUAUCUGCGUUCGAAACGUCAUGAUCAAUUUGAGAAUCAUUGUAAUUGUACUAUGUGUGUGCAUUGUCUUUAACGAUCGGCAAUUUUUCUAAAGAGAAAUGAACAUUUGAAUGAAAAUAAAGAUUUAGGGGUGGUUUAGCACGGUUCCACCAACGAACGUCAAACGUUCGAAUUCUAAAGAAGUCGUAAGUAAGGCCAAGAAGUUAAGGGGUUGAAAUUUCACCUGGAAAGAGUGUCGAGAGAUAUUCGUUAAUAGCCGGAGGAUAAUGCGGCUGCAGCUCUGGAACGCGAUCUGAUUUAGCAAUCUCUCCACCACGCCCUGUGUCUAAUCGCCAGAGUGCGGGUCGGCUCUGUUCAUUAAUAAACCUAAAACUGGCCCACACACGAGACCAGGCCGCGCCACGUCAACUUCGAAAGGUUGCUCGCGUACGAAACAGAGAUCGAGGGCGAAGCAACCGAUGGAGAGAAAAGAAUUAGAGAGGAAAAGGGUAGAGAUCAGAAAGUCCGUCGACGAUCCACGUCGUCCAUAGAAAUCGUCGAAUCAUCGACAGUCAAUAAAUACCGAUCGAUCUUACGCCGGCAUCUAUUAAUGACCUAAACGUCGGCUAACCAAAUUAACCGUGACUAAAGCGCGUUUAAUUCGGCGUUCCACCAUUGCCCUAGCAUUGUUUCUGAUGACAAAGUCCCCGAUGAUCCCAUUCGUAAUCAUCUAAUUCCGGUGUUCUCGAAUUAACAUCCGUGAACGGGCCCAUUGUGUCGGCAGAAUCCUUGUAUCGUCCAGGUCUAGUUCGAUUUUUUAAACGCGUGUAAAGAUGUUCCAAACGGUCCUCUGAGUUAUUGCUUAACAUGAUCUCCACUAAUCUCGCACGGGUUACACGAAGACUGACAUACACUGGCGAGUCAAUGUUUCCCUGCUUCUUGAACAUGAUUUAAUCCUUUCCCGAGCGAAUCGAGUAAAAGCAAAACGGGUACAGAAAGCCGCUGAAUUUACAUCGUUUCGAGGCAACGUGUGUCUCGGCUUCAAGGUAUUCGAUGAGGCAUCGCCUCUGGAAACCCGCGACUCUCUCGGUUACCUGAUAACUCGAUGGUACGCACACCUUCUCGUUGCUCUCGUUAGGCGCUUCCAUGUGCCGUGUUCGUCUCGCGCCUUUAUACUCCCUCAAAGUAUCCAUCGCGUUUCCCCGCUUAAUCCUUGGCCGCGCGUAAAUCACCAACUUCCUUCUUGACGCCUGCAAGGGUACUUGUAACGCCGCUUUUGCCCACCGAGGGGAGAAUCGAAACUUUUCCGAAGAGAUCCGACUUUAAGAGGCUUUCUGUCGCGUAUUGCUCGUUUAUUUCAUCUUCUGAAUCGCCAGGACAUGGCGAUAUUUUCUUCUUUGAUCGAAAUCAAACGAAUACAUGUCAAAUUUAUUUUUUCUAUCCUUUCUCUUUCUUUUUUUUUUUUUUUUUUUUUUUUGAAGAUAAAAAUAAACGAUGAAAUUUUACAGUUCCGAUUUUUACUUUCGAAAAAACACAGCUUAGAAUUACGUCGAUCAUAACGACACAAGGAACAGGCUAAAGCGAGGGCUGUCGAGGGUUAAGAACGACAGAAGUGGACCUAAGUAGCCGUGUACACGAACAGCGGCACUCGAAAUACAAUUCGUUCCGGUUCUCAAAACCUGAAAUGCUAAUCUGCCGGCGUUUUCUUUUCACCGAUUACUCCGUCUCGUUCUCACUUAGUUUCACCAAAUAUUCACAUCUCACUCUGUUAGCCUCCUCCUAUAUCCUACCAAAAAGCGAAAGCUUCUCGAUCGGCGUGCAAGCUUUCCGGCGGCACGAAUCGGAAAGUUCCUUUCGUGAAAAAUCUUUACAAUAGGCCCUCUAACAAGCGGUCUCACUGUCUCCUUCCGUUUCUCUUCCACUGUUCAGUUUCCUUAUUCAUCGUUGCCUCUUCUGCCGUUUAGCACCGGUGCACAAAGAUACAACAAAGCGGUCCAAGCUUCACGCAGCCCUCUUUCGUUUCCAUUUAAGGGUAGAAAAAGAGAGAGAAGGAUAUCUCGGGCAAAUCUGUUUGCUGUUUUCUACGUGGCCCGUGCAAAAGUUGACGAGACUUUCAGUGGCUGUUGAAUGGGGGAUAAGGGCGCGCACCUACUUUUGCUUCUCAAUGCCGAUCGUCGAGGACCCUCGAGCGUGUGUGCCGCCACCACCGCUCUGUUUAUGUACCUGUGUGUCGAGGGGCACACGCUCCAAUAUUGUCGGUUCGAGCCGCUUCGGAGUCCGUUUACCAUAGGAUCUACGCUCGGAUGAGUCCCUACGAUAUUGGGAUCGCACGUUUUGCAUCGAGAUACACGAAUAAUGUCUCCGAAAUUGGAAGAUUCUACUGGAAGGCGAUGAAAAAUAGCUGUAGCUCUUGCACAAACGUUCCAGACUAUCGUGUUACAUUGGACGUAAAUUCGCUCGAAUCGGCCUUGUAACGAAUAAUACAACUCAGGACUGCGAUGCGUAUAUUCGUGAGAAUCUACAUACACGCGUAUCUAAUUGCUUCGACGUUUUGAGUUCGCAUCCACUGUAAUCGCAGCCUAAGAAGAUUCUCAGAGUCCGUUGGCGAGAGAAGAACAAGAGAAUUCACGCUGCUCCUCCCUGCCAGAGAGGAUAUUCAAUUAUGGUAGAUCGGUGCAAAGAUACGCGGCGCCGUGACAACUAUAUACGCGCGGGUCAGUGUCCAAAAAAAUGCCACCUUCCACGAAUAAAUAACUCGCGUUUUGCAUACGGGGAGGCCUGUGCUGGCCAGGGCCGUACGGUAGCGAUCACAGGGAAGAGUUAGCUCGGAAUCCUCUUAACCUGCUCACACGGAACCGUUGUCUUCUAACUCUCACUGGGUCAACAUUCAGCCUAACAUUUUCCCCUUCCACGAAAUUCCGAUCGAAGUAUCAAUUUCCGUGUAAUCAAAGCGGACUCUCAGGGGCCCAAGAUGAAACCGAAAUCCGUGAGGAUUUUCUGUUUUCACGAGGAUAAACCCGGAGGAACCUCGUAUACCGACCCUGCGGUAACUCUAGAUGGGCAGCGGCAUACCGUGGCCAUGGCGCCCCUAUCUUUUAUGCCGGCAGUUUCUGAAAAUCUCUCAGUUUGAUCUGACUUCCAAGCCUAGAGGAGAAACGAGAGAGGACCACGAAGAAGGAAACCGCGGAGCAACGAAGGAAGAGAAGAGAGAGGAGAAGAGUGGAAAGGGAAGAUUAGUUGCCAGCGACAGCAGCAACCGCCAGCAGCAACACGUGUGUUCUACGGUCCGAGUUUACAUAAACACGUAUAAACGUCGUGUAAACCGGCGCGAGAGAAAGUCCGUCGAGUGGACGCGCGCGUGUACGUGCGAGUUCUGGGCGAGCGUGUGCGAGUGCAACAGUAGCAUCCCGACUCAGAUAACGGGCAAGGAUAUACGACUCUAAACUGCACCUACGUGCAGGACACCAGGCUACCGAAUUUUCGAGAAAUCAAGAUCCCCUCGCGAUUUUUUCAGAAUGAGACACACUCUGGUCCUGAGGAACUGGAUCUGGCGAGAAACAGACUGCUUCUCCAGGGAAAAAUUUCAUCUUUGAAGAUACUGUGGUUGUGGUAGGUAAUAGAAAUGCGUCGAAUAUGGAUUAUUCUCUUGUUAUACUUGAUUUUAUCGGGAAACGAUGAAGCUUUAUACGCGGAUGAAUCAUUCGAUAACGAAUUCGAAUAAAUUUGACAUGGAAAAAUAACAUGUAAGUUUUGUCCUGUUUCUAUUGUAAAAAUAUUGAAUCUGUAUCGAGCUCGAUGUAUCGAACUAUGAUGAUGGAAACAAAAUGGGAAGCUUCUCGCGCACGAGAAUUCCUGGAUGCAUCCACGUGAACCUGCCUGGAAAAGGGCGAAGAAUCAAGGAUACUCUAGAGGUUUGGGGAACGUUUCCGCCGCUGCGAAUCGGCAAGCGAGGAAGAAAACUGGAGGGAAAAGUCGAGGGGCCAGGGAAAAGCACGAGACGAGUUCGGAAAAAAAGAACCGCAAAUCCGUGGGUAAACGUAACUACCGGUUGAUGCGCCGAUCAUUCCACCAUGUUGCCUCUGAAAGGGCGAGCGCCAUCGACAGAUGUUUCACCACGAAGAGAACAAAGAAGUCUACACUGUGAACGAAGUUCAUCGAACACGUCGAUAACGUCUUGAAAGGUGCACGAAGCACGUUCGUUAAACGUCCACGAAGAUAUCGAAAUGCCAGUAGAAGGUUACGACACGCGACGCGUUCUACGGACUGACAGUAGAAACGCGAAAGAAGACCAGGGAGAAGUUCAGGCGAACACGCACGAGUGCAACCGUGCACGAGGCCAGGGCAUCGUGAAACGUAAACGGGAAUCAUGAUGCAAUGAAUCGCGCGUACUAGACACUUCCAUUUUCGGCCCCGCAAUGAUUAUCCGAUCACGAUCUCGAUUCUAAUUCCAACCCGAGAGAGAAACGGCAGCUGGGUGUCCGAGAGUUUCGUGCGGCUUUCAUUAAAUCGCGACGUUCACGUUUCGAUCCUGCUUUUAUCCCGCCACGGAAAGCUCAUCGAUCAUAACCGCGCG
This is a long non-coding RNA of Bombus huntii, 7752 nucleotides long. RefSeq lists it as uncharacterized. NCBI's taxonomy places the organism in Eukaryota, Metazoa, Arthropoda, Insecta, Hymenoptera, Apidae. The transcript is spliced from 2 exons. The record is from RefSeq and is a predicted model, not a curated record.